CGAUUGUCGAGUCCAUAAGUCCAAGGUGCAUACAUGCAGGAGCUUCUUUUCUUUUUUCCUUUGCAAGCUGGGGCCCACUUUUCAGUGGUCUUAGCAUUGCUGUAGAUGACUUUAGCAUCGGCUAAGGGGCAUGCAUGGGGUUUUCUUUGUCUAUUUCUCCCUUACUGACAAGUGGGUUGGCAACCAGUGCAGGGGCCAAGGCCGCCACGGGGUCCGUAUGUCGAGGUGGGGAUCGAACAAAUAUGAGGAGCUCGGGCACCUGCGGAGAGAAGCUAUGGAUAAAGCUAAGCAAGCUCCAUUCUCAUCUCCUGGUUGUCAACCCAAAUAAUUAAUGAAGGUGGCUCUCACUUGCCAUGAUACGAUUUCACUAUCCAGCUUUUGGACAACCAAAGGGCCAGACGUGAUUUCCAAGAGUAUCAUGAGGGGCAAAAAGAACUUUUAUGGCUUUUCAUUCUUCCACGGCUUCAACAUCCCUAUAUAAAUAAAGGUAAAACGGAGACCUAAAG
RNAcentral lists this long non-coding RNA (506 nucleotides) under Elaeis guineensis (African oil palm). RNAcentral's name for it is "long non-coding RNA (EGUI_LNC031440)". The record is from RNAcentral. Lineage: Eukaryota; Viridiplantae; Streptophyta; Magnoliopsida; Arecales; Arecaceae.